AACGAACGCUGGCGGCAGGCUUAACACAUGCAAGUCGAACGAGUGUAGCAAUACACUAGUGGCGCACGGGUGCGUAACGCGUGGGAACCUUCCUCGUAGUUCGGAAUAACUCAGGGAAACUUGGGCUAAUACCGGAUGCCUCCCUCGGGAGAAAGAUUUAUCGCUACGAGAUGGGCCCGCGUCAGAUUAGGUAGUUGGUAGGGUAACGGCCUACCAAGCCGACGAUCUGUAGCUGGCUGAGAGGAUGAUCAGCCACACUGGGACUGAGACACGGCCCAGACUCCUACGGGAGGCAGCAGUGGGGAAUAUUGGACAAUGGGGCAACCCUGAUCCAGCCAUGCCGCGUGAGUGAAGAAGGCCUCGGUU
Molecule: ribosomal RNA, 366 nt
Filed under: uncultured bacterium
Lineage: Bacteria
Description: bacterial SSU rRNA
Rfam family: Bacterial small subunit ribosomal RNA
Source: RNAcentral